GCGGGAAGAGCUCAAAUUUAUAAUCUGGCGCUUUCAGCGUCCGAGUUGUAAUCUCUAGAAGUGUUUUCCGCGUUGGACCGCACAUAAGUCUGUUGGAAUACAGCGGCACAGUGGUGAGACCCCCGUUCACGGUGCGGAUGCCCAAUGCUUUGUGAUACACUUUCGAAGAGUCGAGUUGUUUGGGAAUGCAGCUCAAAUUGGGUGGUAAAUUCCAUCUAAAGCUAAAUAUUGGCGAGAGACCGAUAGCGAACAAGUACCGUGAGGGAAAGAUGAAAAGCACUUUGGAAAGAGAGUUAACAGUACGUGAAAUUGUUGGAAGGGAAACGCUUGAAGUCAGACUUGCUAUUCGGGGCUUGCUCCGAGUUGCAGGCCAGCAUCAGUUUUUCGGGGCGGAAAAUCACGGAUUGAAGGUAGCAGUUUCGGCUGUGUUAUAGCUUUCCGUUGGAUACGUCCUGGGGGACUGAGGAACGCAGUGUGCUUUUAGCGAGGGCUUCGGCUCUUUCACACUUAGGAUGCUGGUGGAAUGGCUUUAAACGACCCGUCUUGA
Molecule: ribosomal RNA, 547 nt
Filed under: Rhodosporidiobolus ruineniae
Lineage: Eukaryota; Fungi; Basidiomycota; Microbotryomycetes; Sporidiobolales; Sporidiobolaceae
Description: eukaryotic LSU rRNA
Rfam family: Eukaryotic large subunit ribosomal RNA
Source: RNAcentral